Molecule: ribosomal RNA, 468 nt
Filed under: uncultured bacterium
Lineage: Bacteria
Description: partial 16S ribosomal RNA
Rfam family: Bacterial small subunit ribosomal RNA
Source: RNAcentral
GACGAACGCUGGCGGCGUGCUUAACACAUGCAAGUCGAACGGAAAGGCCCUGCUUUUGUGGGGUGCUCGAGUGGCGAACGGGUGAGUAACACGUGAGUAACCUGCCCUUGACUUUGGGAUAACUUCAGGAAACUGGGGCUAAUACCGGAUAGGAGCUCCUGCUGCAUGGUGGGGGUUGGAAAGUUUCGGCGGUUGGGGAUGGACUCGCGGCUUAUCAGCUUGUUGGUGGGGUAGUGGCUUACCAAGGCUUUGACGGGUAGCCGGCCUGAGAGGGUGACCGGCCACAUUGGGACUGAGAUACGGCCCAGACUCGUACGGGAGGCAGCAGUGGGGAAUAUUGUACAAUGGGCGGAAGCCUGGUGCAGCAACGCCGCGUGCGGGAUGACGGCCUUCGGGUUGUAAACCGCUUUCGCCUGUGACGAAGCGUGAGUGACGGUAAUGGGUAAAGAAGCACCGGCUAACUACGUG